GCAAGUCGAACGAUACCAAGAGGCUUGCUUCUUGGAAAAGUGGCGCACGGGUGCGUAACGCGUAUGCAACCUACCUUAAUCAGGGGGAUAGCCCGAAGAAAUUCGGAUUAACACCGCAUAAAAACACAGAGUAGCAUUACUCAAUGUUCAAAUAUUUAUAGGAUUAAGAUGGGCAUGCGUGUCAUUAGCUAGUUGGCGGGGUAACGGCCCACCAAGGCGACGAUGACUAGGGGAUCUGAGAGGAUGACCCCCCACACUGGUACUGAGACACGGACCAGACUCCUACGGGAGGCAGCAGUAAGGAAUAUUGGUCAAUGGAGGCAACUCUGAACCAGCCAUGCCGCGUGCAGGAAGACAGCCCUAUGGGUCGUAAACUGCUUUUAUCCGGGAAUAAACCUUUCUACGUGUAGGAAGCUGAAUGUACUGGAAGAAUAAGGAUCGGCUAACUCCGUGCCAGCAGCCGCGGUAAUACGGAGGAUCCAAGCGUUAUCCGGAUUUAUUGGGUUUAAAGGGUGCGUAGGCGGCCUAUUAAGUCAGAGGUGAAAGACGGUAGCUCAACUAUCGCAGUGCCUUUGAUACUGAUGGGCUUGAAUGAACUAGAGGUAGGCGGAAUGAGACAAGUAGCGGUGAAAUGCAUAGAUAUGUCUCAGAACACCGAUUGCGAAGGCAGCUUACUAUGGUUUUAUUGACGCUGAGGCACGAAAGCGUGGGGAUCAAACAGGAUUAGAUACCCUGGUAGUCCACGCCCUAAACGAUGAAUACUCGCUGUUAGCGAUAUACAGUUAGCGGCUAAGCGAAAGCGUUAAGUAUUCCACCUGGGGAGUACGCUCGCAAGAGUGAAACUCAAAGGAAUUGACGGGGGCCCGCACAAGCGGAGGAGCAUGUGGUUUAAUUCGAUGAUACGCGAGGAACCUUACCCGGGCUUGAAAGUUAGUGAAGAUUUCAGAGAUGAAUUCGUCCGCAAGGANACGAAACUAGGUGCUGCAUGGCUGUCGUCAGCUCGUGC
Molecule: ribosomal RNA, 1006 nt
Filed under: Pedobacter jejuensis
Lineage: Bacteria; Pseudomonadati; Bacteroidota; Sphingobacteriia; Sphingobacteriales; Sphingobacteriaceae
Description: bacterial SSU rRNA
Rfam family: Bacterial small subunit ribosomal RNA
Source: RNAcentral